This 253-nucleotide ribosomal RNA is filed under the name uncultured bacterium. Its description in RNAcentral is "partial 16S ribosomal RNA". It matches the Rfam family "Bacterial small subunit ribosomal RNA", at positions 524 to 776 of the family's 1533-position model. The record is from RNAcentral.
UACGUAGGGUGCGAGCAUUGUCCGGAAUUAUUGGGCGUAAAGAGUUCGUAGGCGGCAUGAAAAGUAGGGUGUGAAAGCCCUCGGCUCAACCGAGGAAUUGCGCUCUAAACUGUCGUGCUAGAGGAACCUAGAGGUGAGCAGAACUGAUGGUGGAGCGGUGAAAUGCGUUGAUAUCGUAAGGAACACCUGUGGCGAAAGCGGCUUACUGGGUCUUUUCUGACGCUGAUGCACGAAAGCUAGGGGAGCAAACGGG